UAGCGCCAGACCGCAUGCCUGUACUGCGGUGACGAGGAAAAGGGUAAUCGAAAAUUCGGCGGAUGCCCUUUCGGUGCUGCCAAGCAGCGUCGUCAGCCGAAAGACAAAGCCUUCCUGCAAAGGGAGAAACAGAA
Molecule: non-coding RNA, 134 nt
Filed under: chicken gut metagenome
Description: glmS glucosamine-6-phosphate activated ribozyme
Rfam family: glmS glucosamine-6-phosphate activated ribozyme aptamer
About the family: This entry contains a glucosamine-6-phosphate activated ribozyme that is found in the mRNA for GlmS. GlmS is an enzyme that uses fructose-6-phosphate and glutamine to generate glucosamine-6-phosphate. The ribozyme catalyses self cleavage of the glmS mRNA that is thought to regulate GlmS activity.
Source: RNAcentral